This is a long non-coding RNA of Heterocephalus glaber (naked mole-rat), 1135 nucleotides long. The record is from Ensembl. NCBI's taxonomy places the organism in Eukaryota, Metazoa, Chordata, Mammalia, Rodentia, Bathyergidae.
GUCUCUUUGCUGCUCCUUGAUCUAGAGAGAGAGUGUUUUGGGUGGGAGAGGCUUUUUUGUCUGAGCCCACUGGUAUUUCCAGGCUCCCUGUGUCUCCAGCACCCAGAUUUCCUCAAAUCCUCAAACGCUGAGCACCUGUUGGCAAGGUUGACCAAUUUUCCUUUGCCUUGUCUGAUUAUCUUCAGAGUCUGUUUGUACACGAGCACAUACUUUCCACUUUCCAUAGAAAGUUGGAGCCUAGAGUUGAUUGACUCCAGAGACUUUUGCAUCUUCUUCGUGGCCACCAUCUUUCUGUCUUCAGUGCAGGAUGGCCCCCAAUCAAGAGUAGCCACCAAGAUGGUCAAGGAACGAGAAAGGAAGAAGUUCAUUCUCACAGUGCAAGAAGCUCUUCAUGGCAGAGCCAGGACACCAGGACACUAUAGUGAUUUGUUUUGAACUAUUACUUGUAUGUAGUUUUAUUUUUUUAAAUUAUGCUCCUUUACAUUCAUUUAUUUAUUUAUUUAUUUAUUUAUUUUUGAUACCAGGGAUCGAACUCGGGACCUUGCCCUUGCAGGGCAGGCAGCAGAACCACUGAGCUAAAUCCCCCGCUCUACUUGUAUGUAGUUUUAAAUGACAGGAAUCUGAUCCGGCUAUUUUUAACACAAAAAGUGGGAUAAGGGGAGUGGAGAGAUAUGAGAAGAACACAGGACUUGCCACAGGUUAUUUUUGAAUGUCACUGAACCAAAAAACCAAGGCAAGUUCAAGUUUCUUAACAAUAAAUCCAUAGAUCUUUUUCCUAGGUGUUAGGGUUUGUGUCUAGAUGUCCCUCCAAAGCCCCAUGCAGUCACAGGGCUUUUUCAGAAGUGGCUGAAUCUAGAGUGUGUGAUGCUGGGGUUAAGGGUGUGAUUACUAAAUCAGUCCACUGAUUGUUUUGGCACCACUCUAAUCGCAGGAGUCUGGAUAAAAUAAAAGGUACAGAAAGAGGCUUAUCUUCUCUUGUUGCUUUUGCUACUGUGUGGGCGCCAUGAACUGUUUCUCCUCUGCAAUGCCUGCCCCUCUGCCAUGUGCCACUCUGCCUUGGAGCCAGCCGACUGUGGCCUGAAACCUCUACAAACUGAGCUAAAUAAACCCUUUCCCCUUUAACUUUGGGUGUCAG